RNAcentral lists this ribosomal RNA (2845 nucleotides) under Rhodanobacteraceae bacterium. RNAcentral's name for it is "23S ribosomal RNA". It matches the Rfam family "Bacterial large subunit ribosomal RNA". The record is from RNAcentral. Lineage: Bacteria; Pseudomonadati; Pseudomonadota; Gammaproteobacteria; Lysobacterales; Rhodanobacteraceae.
GGUCAAGCGAAUAAGCGCAUACGGUGGAUGCCUUGGCGGUAGGCGGCGAUGAAGGACGUGGAAGUCUGCGAAAAGUUUCGGUGAGCCGACAACAGGCGUUAUAACCGAAAAUGUCCGAAUGGGGAAACCCGGCCCGUAAGGGUCAUCUGCAUCUGAAUAUAUAGGGUGUGGAAGCUAACCCGGAGAACUGAAAUAUCUCAGUACCCGGAGGAAAAGAAAUCAACCGAGAUUCCCUAAGUAGCGACGAGCGAACGGGGACUAGCCCAAAAGUCUCAGUGGUUCUAGUGGAAUGGUCCUGGAAAGACCAGCCAUAGAAGGUGAUAGCCCGGUCCACGAAAGGGCCCUUGAGAUGAAAUUGAGUAGGGCGGGACACGUGAAAUCCUGUCUGAACAUGGGGGGACCAUCCUCCAAGGCUAAAUACGACCUACCGACCGAUAGCGAACUAGUACCGUGAGGGAAAGGCGAAAAGAACCCCGGAGAGGGGAGUGAAAUAGAACCUGAAACCGUAUGUGUACAAGCAGUGGAAGCCCGCAAGGGCGACCGCGUACCUUUUGUAUAAUGGGUCAGCGACUUAUGGUUCGUAGCAAGCUUAACCGCAUAGGGAAGGCGAAGGGAAACCGAGUCUGAAUAGGGCGUAAAGUUGCGAGCUGUAGACCCGAAACCGGACGAUCUAGCCAUGGCCAGGGUGAAGGUGCGGUAACACGUACUGGAGGCCCGAACCCACGCCCGUUGAAAAGGUCGGGGAUGAGUUGUGGUUAGGAGUGAAAAGCUAAUCGAGUUCGGAGAUAGCUGGUUCUCCCCGAAAGCUAUUUAGGUAGAGCCUCAAGUAUUACGUCUGGGGGUAGAGCACUGUUAUGGCUAGGGGGUCAUACCGACUUACCAAACCAUGGCAAACUCCGAAUACCAGAACGUAUCAGCUCGGGAGACACACGGCGGGUGCUAACGUCCGUCGUGAAGAGGAAUACAAUCCAGACCGCCAGCUAAGGUCCCAAAAUUAUCGCUAAGUGGGAAACGAUGUGGGAAGGCAUAGACAGCCAGGAGGUUGGCUUAGAAGCAGCCACCCUUUAAAGAAAGCGUAAUAGCUCACUGGUCGAGUCGGCCUGCGCGGAAGAUUUAACGGGGCUAAGCGAUAUACCGAAGCUGCGGGUUUGUUGAAAGACAAGCGGUAGGGGAGCGUUCCGUAAGCCUGCGAAGGUGGAUCGUAAGGUCUGCUGGAGGUAUCGGAAGUGCGAAUGCUGACAUGAGUAACGAUAAAACGGGUGAAAAGCCCGUUCGCCGAAAGCCAAGGUUUCCUUGCGCAACGUUAAUCGGCGCAGGGUGAGUCGGCCCCUAAGGCGAGGCAGAGAUGCGUAGUCGAUGGGAAGCUGGUUAAUAUUCCAGCACCUCGCGUGACUGCGAUGGGGGGACGGAGAAGGUUAGGUGUACCGGGCGUUGGUUGUCCCGGGGGAGAGGACUGAGGUGGAUCUUCCAGGCAAAUCCGGAAGGUCAACAUUGAGGUCAGGACGAGUCCGCAUGGACGAAGUCACCGAUAUCACGCUUCCAGGAAAAGCCUCUAAGCUUCAGGUCACGAGAGACCGUACCGUAAACCGACACAGGUAGGCAGGAUGAGAAUUCUCAGGCGCUUGAGAGAACUUGGGUGAAGGAACUAGGCAAAAUAGUACCGUAACUUCGGGAGAAGGUACGCCAGCACUUAAUUGUGUUGGCCGCAGUAACCAGGCCGCUGCGACUGUUUAUCAAAAACACAGCACUCUGCAAACACGAAAGUGGACGUAUAGGGUGUGACGCCUGCCCGGUGCCGGAAGGUUAAUUGAUGGGGUGCAAGCUCUUGAUCGAAGCCCCGGUAAACGGCGGCCGUAACUAUAACGGUCCUAAGGUAGCGAAAUUCCUUGUCGGGUAAGUUCCGACCUGCACGAAUGGCGUAACGACAGCGGCGCUGUCUCCACCCAAGGCUCAGUGAAAUUGAAAUCGCUGUGAAGAUGCAGCGUUCCCGCGGCAAGACGGAAAGACCCCGUGAACCUUUACUAUAGCUUCACACUGAACGUUGAGUUCGUCUGUGUAGGAUAGGUGGGAGCCUACGAAGCGUUGGCGCUAGCUGAUGUGGAGGCAACCUUGAAAUACCACCCUGAUGUGCUUGACGUUCUAACCUGGGUCCGUAAUCCGGAUCGGGGACAGUGUGUGGUGGGUAGUUUGACUGGGGCGGUCUCCUCCCAAAGAGUAACGGAGGAGCACGAAGGUGCGCUCAGCACGGUCGGACAUCGUGCGUAGUGUGUAAAGGCAUAAGCGCGCUUGACUGCGAGAUCGACGGAUCAAGCAGGUACGAAAGUAGGUCUUAGUGAUCCGGUGGUUCUGUAUGGAAGGGCCAUCGCUCAACGGAUAAAAGGUACUCCGGGGAUAACAGGCUGAUACCGCCCAAGAGUUCAUAUCGACGGCGGUGUUUGGCACCUCGAUGUCGGCUCAUCACAUCCUGGGGCUGUAGCCGGUCCCAAGGGUAUGGCUGUUCGCCAUUUAAAGUGGUACGCGAGCUGGGUUCAGAACGUCGUGAGACAGUUCGGUCCCUAUCUGCCGUGGGCGUUAGAAACUUGAGGGUGAUUUGCUCCUAGUACGAGAGGACCGGAGUGAACGUACCUCUGGUGUUCCGGUUGUCACGCCAGUGGCAUUGCCGGGUAGCUAAAUUCCGGAAGCGAUAACCGCUGAAAGCAUCUAAGCGGGAAGCGCGCCCCAAGAUGAGAUCUCUCCCUCCUUGAGAGGAUAAGAGCCCAGGAAGACCACCUGGUUGAUAGGCGCGGUGUGUAAGCGUGGUAACACGUUGAGCUUACGCGUACUAAUUGCUCGAAGGCUUGACCAU